GCCUUCGUGGUGUAAUGGUCAGCACACUGAGCCGGUAUUUCAGAGGUCCGCGGUUCGAUUCCCGACGAAGGCA
This 73-nucleotide transfer RNA is filed under the name Stegodyphus mimosarum. It matches the Rfam family "tRNA". From Rfam's summary of the family: Transfer RNA (tRNA) molecules are approximately 80 nucleotides in length. Their secondary structure includes four short double-helical elements and three loops (D, anti-codon, and T loops). Further hydrogen bonds mediate the characteristic L-shaped molecular structure. tRNAs have two regions of fundamental functional importance: the anti-codon, which is responsible for specific mRNA codon recognition, and the 3' end, to which the tRNAs corresponding amino acid is attached (by aminoacyl-tRNA synthetases). tRNAs cope with the degeneracy of the genetic code in two manners: having more than one tRNA (with a specific anti-codon) for a particular amino acid; and 'wobble' base-pairing, i.e. permitting non-standard base-pairing at the 3rd anti-codon position. The record is from Rfam by way of RNAcentral. Lineage: Eukaryota; Metazoa; Arthropoda; Arachnida; Araneae; Eresidae.